Molecule: ribosomal RNA, 451 nt
Filed under: uncultured bacterium
Lineage: Bacteria
Description: partial 16S ribosomal RNA
Rfam family: Bacterial small subunit ribosomal RNA
Source: RNAcentral
GUGGGGAAUUUUGCGCAAUGGGGGAAACCCUGACGCAGCAACGCCGCGUGAGUGAUGAAGGCCUUCGGGUCGUAAAGCUCUGUCAGAGGGGAAGAAGUGUGGGGUGGCUAAUAUCCAUUUCACUUGACGGUACCUUCAAAGGAAGCACCGGCUAACUCCGUGCCAGCAGCCGCGGUAAUACGGAGGGUGCGAGCGUUGUUCGGAAUUAUUGGGCGUAAAGCGCGUGUAGGCGGUUUUUUAAGUCUGAUGUGAAAGCCCUGGGCUCAACCCGGGAAGUGCAUUGGAAACUGGGAGACUUGAAUACGGGAGAGGGCAGUGGAAUUCCUGGUGUAGGAGUGAAAUCCGUAGAUAUCAGGAGGAACACCGGUGGCGAAGGCGGCUGCCUGGACCGAUAUUGACGCUGAGACGCGAAAGCGUGGGGAGCAAACAGGAUUAGAAACCCUUGUAGUCC